This 466-nucleotide ribosomal RNA is filed under the name uncultured bacterium. RNAcentral describes it as "partial 16S ribosomal RNA". It matches the Rfam family "Bacterial small subunit ribosomal RNA", at positions 28 to 507 of the family's 1533-position model. The record is from RNAcentral.
GACGAACGCUGGCGGCGUGCUUAACACAUGCAAGUCGAACGGAAAGGCCUCUUUCGGGGGGUACUCGGGUGGCGAACGGGUGAGUAACGCGUUAUUAACCUGCCCUUGACUUUGGGAUAACGUCAGGAAACUGGUACGAUACCUGGUGGGAAGUCCUUCCGCAGAGGGGGGGGUUGGAAUUUUCUGCGGUUGGGGAUGGGGUCGCGGCUUAUCAGGUUGUUGGUGGGGUAGUGGCUUACCCAGGCGUUGACGGGUAGCCGGCCUGAGAGGGUGAACGGCCACAUUGGGACUGAGACACGGCCACGACUCCUACGGGAGGAAGCAGUGGGGAAUAUUGCACAAUGGGUGGAAGCCUGAUGCAGCACCGCCGUGGGCGGGAUGACGGCCUUGGGGUUGUAAUCCGAUUUCGCUCAUGACGAAGCUUUGUGUGACGGUAGUGGGUAAAGAAGCACCGGCUAACUCCGUG